Amphiprion ocellaris (clown anemonefish) is the source of this 6440-nucleotide long non-coding RNA. NCBI's taxonomy places the organism in Eukaryota, Metazoa, Chordata, Actinopteri, Pomacentridae. The record is from Ensembl.
GCAUAAUAUAGCUUGAGUGGAGCUGGGUAUAUAAGGACUAGUUUUGUACUCUGUGUGUUGGUACUACUUUUUGAUAGUGGUUAAAUCACAUUACACUGUAUCAAUCAAACUCAUUGUACCUUCAGUUGAGAUCAGUGUUCUUUGCUAUUCUACCUAUUGGACCACUAUACCAUAUAGAAGUAAUUACCUGCACUGUUUAUUCCAUUUGCCCUUUUUUAUUUUCUUUUAACUGGGGGGUGUGUUGACUGUUUCAGAUAGUGGAGAGUGAAAAAUACAGUGGACGAGUGAAUCUCUGGGCUAUGAAGAUUUUCUUUUUUGUUUAUCCAACCUGGCUCUGUAGCCCUGUUUAAAACAUGAAUGCCUAUACAUGACAAAUACAAGUCAAAGCCAAGCACAGACAGAUCACACUGGAUGGAAAUGCACAGUGGGUGGGUGAAAGGAAGCACUAGGAUCAGGGUAGGUCAUUUCCCAUGGUACGGUUUGCAUCUAUUUUUUUUUCUUUCGCCAAGGUUUGCCCAUACUAGGAGGUAUAAAUGUAUAUGAAGGAUGCAGAAAAGGCCUCUCAUUGAUGCUGAGACCCACAUUUCCCCUUCUUUGCCUCAUUUGAAAGAGCUAAUACUUUCCUUUCUUUCUUUCUUUUUUCUAACGUGGAUUCUCUACUGUCUCAUCGCUUAAGCCGAGGUGACAGUUUGGGCUGUUUAGCAAAACAGCUCCUCUCACAUGCCCACCAUCUUCAGUUGCCUGUCUCCUGCAAGGCUGUCUGCCAUUGCUAACAUCUUUAGGUCAGUGAAGCCUCAGCAGCUAACAAUGUUAGCCACUAGAGUAGAAAUGAGUCAUGCAACAAAGCAGGCUGCAGUCGAAUCCUGUCGCUUAAGAGGCUGGAGCCACUGUGGGGGUAAAGUGGUGAUCUUCAAAACAGACAGAGAGAGGAAUAUCACAGAUGGCAAGCCCAUUGUGCUCGGAUAUAGAAAUCUGUCUGCUACCGCAGAGAUGCUAUUUGGUAAGCUGAAACGCUUGUCUCCCUGUUUUCCUUUCACUGAAAUAUAGAUGUGUGCAGGCCUCUGUUGUGAGACUACAUCCUGCCCCUCUCCACACUCUGCAGUCAUUCAAAACGAGUGCAGACUACUGUUACCCUGUAUAACAUUGCAGCAGACAAGCUGAAUGGAAAAUCUUCUCUGUCAGAGGGAGCGUUGCUUUUUGGAAUAUGAUUUAAAUUGAGUAAACUAAUUAUAUGUUUGCUCCAGAUUGGUUCCCCGGAUGAAAUGAGCAGCCAGAGCUUGAUCUGGGAUUUAAACAAAGGAAAGAUUCCAAGGCUAUUAUCACACAUCAUCCUCGCAGGCCAGGGACUUCUUUAAUACCUUUCUUUGAAACACAUGCCAACAACAUAAAAAAAGGGUGAAAUUUAGGAUCUGGGGAAAAUCUGUCCUGUAGGUCUGCUGGCAGUGUAUCAACAAAUCAUGAGCUUUGUAGCUUUAGCGCUAAGCUUGCCCGUUGCUGAUUGUAGACUCACAUGCAUUCAAGCAUUGUCACAUAGGACAAUGUGUUACGUAAUUAGGGUUUUCAACAUUUUGGUAUCUGCACAAUAUAUUGUAUAUCGGCAACCCCUUGUGAUUGCCUGUACUUGGAAUCAAGAUUUAUUAGACCCAUAUAAAAAGCAACAUGGCCCUGCUUUUGUAACUCAGUGGCUGAAAUACAUUUCACAAGAUGUGGAUGUGAUGCUUGGAAAAAAAAAGUCAGAUGCUGAUUAUAGCUGGCAGUGGGUGUUGAGAACAUUUUUGUGAAUGCAAAAACCACUUUUGUGCUAAACAGCAUUGCGGCCACGAAGGUCUUCAUACAUAGAGCGUUAGUUUAAAAUAUACAACAGGUCAGCUCUGUUGGAUCAGACUUAUGACCCCAAUAAUGGCCCCAACCCAGACUCAAAGACUAACACGACACCUGGGAUGCCUCUUGAGGAAAAGGACUAGCAUGUAGUGAAUUACUUUGUCACCCGAUGGAAAACCUCCAGGAUGCAAACGGCAAAAGAGGAAUGUUUCAUUUUUUAGUGAACCCAACAAUUUGACUGUCAUCGUCCGAUCAGGAGCGUUACAUCAAAUAGAUGACCCCUGCCGAUGAGACAUCACCCUUUGCACACAUGCUGCUGUGGAAAUAAACAUGCUUUGCUACUGAGUGGAAUGGAAAAAGCCGGACCAAUAUGGUUCCAGUCACUUUCAUUCAUAAAUCUGUGUUUUCUAUAAACAUUUAUCAUUGCUGUAGGCUAUAAUUGGUGGAUCCUCCAUGUAAUUUGCCAUAGCCAAGUCACAGCUACAACUCUACAGUCACAUCAACUGAUCAUCUUAAAAGAGGAAAAAAAAAAUAUAUAUUCAGAGGCAUUUCACAUUAAUUCAUUUUAGAUCCACUAAAAAUCAUUUUGACGUAUCUGCACUUUUGGCGCUACAAAACCCUUUCAGCUCUUGGAUUGCAAAAUUGCAGUAGAUUGAAUAAUUAAGAACAAUUUUUCAGGUCUCGUCAUAUAAUUUUAUUCUAAUAACAAGUACAAUUGACUCUGCACGACUAAAUUAGUGAACUGCUACUCAUAACCAGUUGCUUCAUCUAUUCAGGGGAACAUCACGAAGAUUGAGAUAGUACAUAGCACCAAAUUCAAGCACUGCUCUCUGGAGAAAUGACAAAAGGGGCAAAGCAAGGGUCACCCACUGAAUAAAACAUAUAAUUGCACUGAUGGGUAAAUAGUCAAGCAAUUGCAGUGCCAUGCUAAGCGGCUGACAGCCGAGUAUGAAUCUUAAUUAAUAACUCGCCAUGCGCUCAGUUGUCUGAUUGACGAUAGGUGAGGAACACAAGCCAACUGUAGCAUGAGGGAAGUGACAGAAGAUCUAGUCAGCAGCUGACACAUUUGAAAUUAUAAGUGGAAAUUACUAGGAACUGUGGUGAAAUUAAUGCAUGGUGGCAGUUGCUAACAGGAAUUAGCCUGGGUGGUGACGACAGAAAUACAGUCCUAAUUUUCUCAUACAGAACAAGGCGUCCUGCUGGAUCGCUGGAGGAUGUAAGGCUAGGCAUACUGACAGAAAAAAAGUUGUUGGAGGGGAGGUGCUGCAAUGACUCAUGAAUCAGGGGUUAUAUAAGUGAGCAAGUGCAUUAAAUGGAUGUAAUUCUAUUUUGGAGAAGCAUGGCUACAAAAGCAAUGCAAGGUGAAAUGGCUACAUUUUCGAAAAAAAGAGAAAAAAAGCUACUUUUGUGGAAAAUUAAAGCAUUAGACGACCUUCGGCUGUACAGAUUGAGAAAGCCAGUGAUAAGUGAUAACUUCAAAACUUACACAAGCAGGAAGGGGAAAUAAAAAAAAAGAAAAAAGAGUGAUGGGAGAUAAAUUAAAUCUUGAGCUAGCUGCACAAAUUGAGAGUCAGCUAAAGUAGACCUCAGCAUGACUGAUUGAAGAACUGGCCAAAUGCGGCAUCCCUUAUGAUCAAAAUAAUGUGAAAAAGGAUUUUGAACACACGGGAGCAGAAGAAGAGAGGAACCACUGACCAACCACAGCUUUAGACCCAACACCUUUAAUGAGACUAAAACACAUGUUUGGCGGUUCUGGCGGCUGACAAUGAUAGAUAGCCUGCUACUUGAUUAAUGGCAUAACAGGCAACCAGAGUCACAGUGCUCCACUUACAAAAUAUGUUCAGUCUUAACAUCCCAAGAAUUGAGCCAAUCAACAAUUUAUGCUCUGGCAACCACACUGGAAUUGACAUCUGCUUUCCAUAACAAGCUUAUUUCAUAUAUGAACCUGGUUAACUGACUAUUUUUUGGUCUGCAGACUGACUUGUUCACCAUUAGUGUCCAGUACAUGUUGGCUCAUCUACUAACUUUGUGUUUAGUCAGCUGAAUGUUAAAGGUGCCCUGUGAAAUCUCCAUUAUUUGGUUUAUUCAGUGUUUUUGCCAAAUAUAAUCAUUAUGUCCUAACAGACAUGUCAAAUGCAUCGCCUACCUCAUAGAACACUUGUAGAGAUUUCAUUAUUGAAUGCUUUUGUUCAGCUUUCCGUCUUGUUUUUCUUUGCAACUACAGAUUGUUGCUUUUUGUUUUCGACCUCCCCAGUUGUCAGUAUGCAUUGCUGCCUCCCAUGCUCUUUACAUGCAUGUACAUGUUGGUAGAGCAUGCAAUACCAACCCUUUAUCAUCAAAACAUUGCUCAACAGCACCUCUAGUGGUCAUAAACUCUGCAGGGUACCUUUAAUGUUGCUGCUCACUUGUGAAAACCUCAGCUUACACUUAUGUCAAGUCAGACAUGUUUUCAAGUAAGGGCUAGGUCUUAACAGACUAGGGCUAACAACAGUUCAGAUUGAGUGAAGUAUGACUGAAAGAGGAUUCAUUCAUUUUAUCCCAUCCACACUGCAAGUGCCAAGAUUCAAAAGGCUUCUGUUUGUCACACGCUCAUACAGUAUGUACAGUGAAAUGAAAAGUGACUGUUCUCAAGGCUGGACUACUGCAGGGACUUCUCCCUCUCUGUUCAUUUAGUGUGAAUUUUUACAUGAGAUAAGACAAAAAAAGAAAAAAAAAUACAUAAAGUAAUAGCAGAUGAGAGGCAAUGUCAUUCCCAUUAACAAACAUGUCUUUGAUUUCAAAAUAAUUCAUUUAUUUAUUUUUAUUUUAGACAGGAGCAGUUAACACUAUAUUCCCAGAAUGUCACUCAUACAUCAUGCAAGGAGAUUUAUCCCAAAUCUGUGCUGCAAUGAGACAAAAGUGAUCACACUAAAUAUGUAUCAGCUGUUUUUGUUGGCCAAGUGAAACAAGAUCUUAAAUCUGUGACAGAUGUUAUCUGGAGCCUAUGCAUUUACUAUUUCCAUCACAGAGUGAAAUGAAAAAUAGAGCUAAUUGUUUUUAAGCUGCCAAAAGUUAUUGUUUACCAGGUAUUUAGUGUUUUGCAGGACUUAUUCUCGGGUAACUGGGAUCUGCAUUUACACCAUCACAACAUACUAAAACUCUCCACUGUAACCAGCACGAUGGAUUCUUUUAACAGCUCUUUUUAAAUGCAGGGCAAGUCACACCUAUCCUUUGACAGAGGAAUCAUUAGGCCUUUAAACUAGGAACUAAUAACCUUAAAACCUGACUGGAUAGUUAAACGGGCAAAUAAAAUAUGAAAAGAAGCUAAAAUUGAAUUGCUGCUUUUACACUUUAUAUUCUGUGGCAGAUUUACAGGGAACACAAGGAGUUUUUUGUUUCAUUUUGUUUUGGGUUUUUCUUUUUCUGAGGGGAAAAGUAUGCCUUUUGUUUAAGUUUGGUGUACCAUAAAAACUUGGACACACUUUCUAUUUUGUCACCUUUUUCUAAUUCAGUUUCUGGUUCAUGAUUGAAUUCAUCUUUGUUAGACCGUGAAAAUUCUGUUAUUUCCUCAAGCCUUUGCGGUCACAUUGAGGACACUGAGUGGGUGCAGCAUGCAUGAGCAGCAGUGUGUUUCCAUGUGCGUUUGGUGAAACACUUUCAAAAAAAAAAAACAACAAAAAAAAACAACAAAAAAAAACCACAGGAUUCAUGGAGUAGUUGUAAACUUUAAAAAAACACAUGGCCUGCAAAAAUCUGUCACUCCUUACUGAGUGCAUUUACAAGGGAAUUCAUAUGCUGAUAUUGUUUUUGCCAGUGACUGAGGCUUGUAAACAUCAUAUCCAUUAGGGUUUCUUUCUGCAAUGUGCCUAAUUUCCGUUUCUGUGUUAGGAUUUUCAAAUAUUCUCUUUAUUUCGUGUCAUAUGGUGUCUGGCUUGUCCUGAAUAAGACUUGAAUUUGGAUUUAUUUGCUUUUCGCUUGUAAUAGCACACAUUUAGAACAGCGUUCACAUCCAAACAGCAGAUGUAAGAUAACAGUCUGAGAAUGCCCCAGGGUUUAAUGACUCCCAUCCGGUGUCACCCUCCUUUAAAAACGUGUGUCCAUCCUUCAUAAAGGGGAAGCUCCGAACCAAUCCAGGUAGCAUUUCUUCAGUCAUUUUCUUUUAAAUCCCAACACCAGUAUGUUUUAAUGAGCCAGUCUAGCAGGGUGAGUAUAAAUCCACACAGUUCGGGACUGAAUACGCUUAAAAAAAACCCUGUUCUAGGGGGAUGCUUCACUUUUGUUCCUGUGUAAAUCUACCCUGACCGUGGUCAACAGUCAGCCUGUGUUGUAGUGUUUGGGGGGCGGGGAGGGGGGAGAGACAGAGAGAUGAACGAGCACUGCGAAUGAAUGUAACGCAACGUGCCAUUUUCUGACCUCAAAUCGCAGCAGAAACAACAACAAUCAAACCUCAGAUUCAUCCUGAGAGGUUUUUGCUGGCAGUCUGCAAACUAAAGGUGGACUUGUUCUUUGAAUGCCAUGUGAAACAGGGGGAACUAUGUGAGCAGGUCUGGCAUUUGUAUUGUAGAUUAUUUGUCACUUGUCUUUCUUUCUGGUUAAAUAGUAAUUACUCUUCUGGAGCACAAUAAAUGAUUUUAAUAUGC